This 314-nucleotide unclassified non-coding RNA is filed under the name uncultured fungus. RNAcentral describes it as "partial contains small subunit ribosomal RNA, internal transcribed spacer 1, and 5.8S ribosomal RNA". The stretch from base 1 to 73 matches the Rfam family "Eukaryotic small subunit ribosomal RNA", at positions 1759 to 1831 of the family's 1831-position model. The record is from RNAcentral. Lineage: Eukaryota; Fungi.
GCAAACUUGGUCAUUUAGAGGAAGUAAAAGUCGUAACAAGGUUUCCGUAGGUGAACCUGCGGAAGGAUCAUUACCGAGUCCCGGGGGUCUUACCGGCCCCCGACUCUCAACCCUCAUGUGAACCCACCUCGUUGCUUCGGCGGGCCCGUCGGGACCGCAAGGCUCGACCGCCGGCUUCGGCUGGUCCGCGCCCGCCGGAGGACCAUCGAAACCCACUGAAACCGCAGGCUUCGGCCUUCCGACUGGGUCCUUCGCGAAUCUUCAAAACUUUCAACAACGGAUCUCUUGGUUCUGGCAUCGAUGAAGAACGCAGC